Molecule: ribosomal RNA, 531 nt
Filed under: uncultured bacterium
Lineage: Bacteria
Description: bacterial SSU rRNA
Rfam family: Bacterial small subunit ribosomal RNA
Source: RNAcentral
AGAAUUGAUCUUGGUCAGAACGAACGCUGGCGGCAGGCCUAACACAUGCAAGUCGAGCGUGAAAGGGGCUUCGGCCCUGAGUAAAGCGGCGCACGGGUGAGUAACACGUGAAUAAUCUGCCCCUCCGACCGGGAUAACAGACCGAAAGGACUGCUAAUACCGGAUAAGCCCACAAGCCAACCGGGCGUGCGGGAAAAGUACGGGAUCCUUCGGGACCGUAUGCGGAAGGAUGAGUUCGCGUUCCAUUAGAUAGUUGGUGAGGUAACGGCCCACCAAGUCGACGAUGGAUAGCUGGUCUGAGAGGAUGAUCAGCCACACUGGAACUGAGACACGGUCCAGACUCCUACGGGAGGCAGCAGUGGGGAAUCUUGCGCAAUGGGGGAAACCUUGACGCAGCCAUGCCGCGUGAGUGAUGAAGGCCUUCGGGUUGUAAAGCUCUGUCUAAGGGGACGAAUGGUGCAUAGAACAAGACAUUAUGCGCGUGACGGUACCCUUAAAGAAACCACCGGCUAACUCCGUGCCAGCCGCCGC